CAUUCUUACUCUCCGUGGGCAAAAGUUUCAGCCAGGCCAAGGGCACAUGAAGGAAUCCAAGGCCGACUGCCAAAGACCGGAGGUAAAAAGACGCUGGAGGAGUUCAGAAGUUCAGGCAAAUAAAAGAGGAUUAUCGUUCAAGGCUUCUGUGAACCAGAGAGAAGGUGAACUGACAGGCAGCCCUGGGCGUGGCCCGGGGCGGGGCGGGGCGGGGCGGGGCAGGGGUGAGGGGAGGAGAGCGGCCCUGAGCCGGAGCUCGGAGCUCUGCAGGGAGGUGUGUGCUUGCAGCUGGCAGGCGGGCCGCCUCAGGAAACCGCGCUUGAUUAGAAAAGGCUGCAGAGGGCCCUGUGGAACAAAGGAAGGCAAGGAGGUCCAAAGAUGGAGCCCCCGUUGGUGAAGCUAUUGGAAGGAAAGAAUGAGAGUGAACCGAUUCAUUAACAAUCUUGGCAGCGUCUAAAAGAAAACCUCUACAGAAAUGGAGAGAAAAUCCGGCAACAGAAGAAGAGAAAAGAAGAUUCUUGGGAAUAUGGCACAUGCAUCCCUGAAGCAAUUAAUCAGUGUUUUUCCACCCUUGGUUUCAUAUGGUGGUUGUGUUGCCCAGUGUGAACCACAGAAAGAUUAGUUUUGAUGAGGAAGUUUUGUUCAGGCCACGUGUCUAACCUGUGUACAGGAGGGUUAACAGUACUGUGUUAGAGAGCGUUUCAAGUGUGAAUUUUUUUUUUGGAGUGAUUUAUUUUUUUUUUAAUUUAUUAAUUAAAAAAAAUGUUAAUGUUUAGUUUUGAGAAAGAGUAUUAAUGGGGGAAGGGCAGAGAGAGAGAGAGGGAGAGAGAAUCCCAAGCAGGAUCCGCACCAUCAGCGUGGAGCCUGAUGCAGGGCUGGAACCCACACACCGUGAGAUCAUGACCUGAGCGGAAAUGAAGAGUCAGAUCCACCCAGGCGCCCCUGUGUGAGCAUAUUUUUUAAAAAUACAUACAAAAGAAUAAAUACAAGAAAAUGCAUACGGGAGUAUUAGGAGAGAAUCAUGUAGGGAAGUCACUUUCCUGGUCAAGAAUCCAUAAAUGCACUUCUUGUCCAGGUGUUUGAGGCCUUCUAUAAUCUUGCCAGCACGUGGUGCUAUUUUAGGGAGGGAGAUGGUGGCCGAGGAAGGAAAGAACAUACUAGAACAUACUGGAAAGACUUUGCGGGGGAGGUAGCAGGAGGAGAAGUUAGAGGCUGGGCAGUUGAUUUAUAAGAGUUGGUUGCACCGCUGGGUCUGGUAUGUUUGGUGAGAAUGGGGUAGUACUGGGGUCACCAAUCUGGAGAGGAUACUUUGGGCCAUCCUGUGAAAAGCCUUUGUUAGCAGGCUGAGAAAUUCGUACUCAACUAGAGUAGCCAUUAGGACCCACCGAAGGCCUUCGAGCGGCAGAGUGACCCUGAAGCGUGUAAUCUCAGAGCUGAAAGAAGACGUAAAGGCCUUUGCUUUCAUGCCGAGUUUGACCUCUCUGUGCCUAGUGCGGGCUUGGCUCUUGCUUUCUCACUGCCGUGUGUGUUAAAUGAGAUGAUACUUACAAAGCACUCAGCUCAGGGGUUCCCGUAGAAUGAAGCUCAAUAAACGUUGACCGAUAUGGUCACUGUCAUCAUGAAUCUGGUUCCCAUUUAGGAAGGUUUUCCUUAAGCCUCUUUCCACAUUUGUCUUAUGUGAGGACAGCCUUUUCUUCAGACGGAAUAUAUCGCUGGUUUCUUCCCCCCACUCCUCAUUUUUUUACCUUUCUUUUUUUUUUUUUUUUUAAGUUUUUAUUUCUUGUGAGAGAGAGAGAACGAGCAGGGGAGGGUCAGAGGGGGCAGGGGAACAGAGAAUCUGAAGCAGGCUGACAGCAGAGAGCCCAAUGGUGCGGCUCAGACUCACCAAUUGUGACCUGAGCUGAAACUGGGCAGUUAACCAACUGAGCCACCAAGGUGCCCCUCUUUUCCCAUUCUAACUCUGAUCCUUGUAAAGUGUGGUACACAGAACCCACUUGUGUGAUUUCACCUGACCAGAGUUAAGCCUCUCCAUUCUAUCAUUCUACAGACAAUGACUGAAUUGGAAGAAAAAAAAAAAGAACAAACACAAGAAACAAACUAAGAUUUUUGUAGGCAGCCUCAUCAGACUGAAUAGAAUACUGAUUUAUCAAAAAAAAAUUUUUUUUAACGUUUAAUUAUUUUUGAGAGACCGAGAGAAACAGACCAUGAGCAGGGGAGGGGCAGAGAAAGAGAGGGAGACACAGAAUCGGAAGCAGGCUCCAGGCUCCGAGCUGUCAGCACAGAGCCCGACGCGGGGCUCGAACUCAUGAACUGUGAGAUCAUGACCUGAGCCGAAGUCGGACGCUCAAUCCACGGAGCCACCCAGGCGCCCCUGAAUAUAAUACCGAUGGAAAUUCCUAAGCCAUUCCCACAUGCCCUCCUGCUGAGCUACAACCCUUUCCACUCUGCUUGCACUUGGCCCUGUACAAAGCCUCAGAUUGCUUCAUGAUGACGUUUCCUCUUAUUGUUGGGAACAAUUGUCAAAGGCCUUGAAAUGGGCAAAACAAUCACUGAGUUUCUUUGAAGGGAUUGCUGGGCGUUAUCUGGCAGAUUCUUCCGGGUUGCCUGCUUUGACAGAGGUCUGUGCCUUUCACUGUUUUCGACUAAACUAUUUUGCGACUGUGAGUUAUAGAAAGCCCAUCGCAAUGCAAAUCUUGUCCACCGAGAAACAGAAAUGAAUUUUGUCCGGUGGACGUGCGAUUGAUUUCCACCCCAUGAAAGAGGCUGCCAAUCUUACAUCUAGUAGCAAAUUUAUUUCACCAUUUCUAAUUGCUUUUAUGUGAGUCUAUUCUUUGGGUACUGCUUGAACCGGUAACAUUUUGUAAUAUUUCACUGCCUCUGUGACCAAUUAAUGAAUAGUUAAUUGAUGGACACAUGUCUAUUUUAUAUUUGUAUAAGAACCCUGAUUGUUGCUUAAAAAUAAUGUUUAGGGGUGCCAGGGUGGCUCAGUGAGUUGAGUGUCCAACUCUUGAUUUUGGCUCAGUCAUGAUCUCAUGGUUGUGGGAUCGAGGCCCACAUCGAGCCCCAUGCUAAGCAUGGAGCCUAUUUGGGAUUCUCUCUCUCUGUCUCUCUGAAUCUCUUUCUCUCUCUUUCUCUCUGCCAAAAAGAAAUAAACAUUACAAAAAAUCUUUAACGCUGAUUUUCUCACGUCUUCACAGCUGGCGAGGCAUGAACAGGGCAAAAAUGGAAACUAAACAAACAGUAAAGACCCUGUUUGAGAUUGAAAUGGGUCUGCUAACCCGUAUCUCUAAGUAAAGUUGUUCAACCAGUUACUAAUCCAUUUAAUCAUACUGAUACCCUUCUACUUGCAAACAGGCUGUCCCUAAGUGUGAUUUUCUUAAGUCCAAAGUGAUUAAGAGGGGUUAAAACCUGCUGUCCCCAGUGAUCAUUCCCACCAAGGAUGAGCAGAGGUCAGAUUUUAUAACUUUAAAAUCAGUCAUAGAUUUCUCCUCCUUGCUCAUUUACAUUUUAAUGGAUACCCUUUGCCAGGAUAGAUUAGUUUUACCCACACUGAAAAUCCUUAAUGAUCUUGUUGAAUGGAACUGAGCAGGAGAAAUAUAUUGCUCUGGAGAAGGGGAAUUUGGGGGUUGGUUAGUAGAAACAGAAUGUGUUAAGUGGGUAAAGUUAAGGCCUGUUACAGGCCGCCGAGACUUGGUGGAGGAACAGAUACGGUGAUGAGGAGGUGGCCGCAGUGAUGGCAUUUUUGGCUACAUGACAAUGAGCCCACUGAGAAUGCCGUUGGGCUGAAUGAAUGGAGGAGACGGCAUAAGGGACACCUCAAUGGUGCCGGCGCUCUUCUCCCUGGAAACAGGGCCCUUCCCGCGUGCUCGUGAUGUUAUAAUGAUAAAGUAAGCAGGCGAAUCUGGUCUCAAGCAAGCCUACAUCUAGGGAUGGCACCCUGGCAGAAGGAGAGGAGGGUUCAGCAGUCAGAGGACGAGAUGCUGGACAGGAAAGAAUGAGUUAGGAGAACAGGAACUGACGAGGCAGGCCGGGCGCUGGAGACCUUGGGUACUGCCUACCGGUAGCUUCUCCCAGUUUGGGUCGGUGGGUCUGAGUACAUGAUAGUCUGAAGUAUGGCUCCACCAUGCCUCACCAUGGCCAUCGGUGCACCAAAGCUACAUCUGUUUAGAAGGAACAAGAGAGAUGAGACAACAAGUCGUGGUUAGUGUGCAGGACAUUCCUUAGCACUUGCUGCCUUCAAAUGCAGAAACUGCUGACAAUGGCGUUGUGAUGCCCACUUGACCGCAGUUGAUCGUGGGUGAAGCCGUCGAACUCUCACUCUGUCCGCAUCUAUGAAAGGUCUUCUGCUGAAAAGCUUCCGUGUUCUGUUUUAGCCCACACUCUCGACCUUCUCUCCGAGGAUGAUGAGAGAGGGACUUAUUUAAUGUCUUGCUAAAGUCCUAACUCGGUGAGUUUAAUACUUUUUUCUAAUUUACUGGGGUAGCUGUAGAAAGAAAUUAAAUUAACUGGGGCACCUGGGUGGUUCAGUAGGUUGAGCGUCCAACUUCGGUUCAGGUCAUGAACUCAUGGAUGUGAGUUCGAGCCCCGCGUCGGGCUCUGUGCUGACAGCUCAGGGCCUGGAGCCUCCAUGGAUCCUGUGUCUCCGUCUCUCUCUGUUGCUCCCCCUCUUUCUCUCUCUCUCUCCCACUCUCUCUCAAAAAUUAAGAUUUAAAAAAAUUUUUUUAAGAAAGAAAGAAAUUAAGUUAAUCUGACAUAACACAGCUGUGCCUUAGAACGGUUAAUUUGUCAUCGGCGUGUAGGGUGUAUGGAGGGGGAGAGAGAGGGCAGGAAGGAGUGUCAGGGAGAUGGCACUUGUUGGCAGUUGUGCCCUUGACAAUGGCAGUUGACUGUGUAAGAGGCUACAGGGGUGGAGAAGUAUGAGCUGAGUGAAGGCUUCAGACAGAGCAACUGAAAGGCCAUUGGCAGUCUUGGGGUGGAGGGGGCGAGCUGGAUUAAGGAAGGAGUAGGUGGGUAGGGCAUGGAGACAACGGGUGUAAACCAGUCAUACGAGCGGAUUGGUGUGAAGAGAAGGCGAGACGGGCUGGGUAGCGGGACUGGGAAGGAGGGUUGUUUUUAGAAUUGGGGACUUUGGGGACAGUCAUAAAAACAGGGAAGGAAUGAAUGAAUCUGGAAAGACUGAAGACGUGAGCAGAGAAGGGAGAGAACUGGUGAAGUGGAACCCUGGGGAGGUUGGAAGGGGCGCCAUCAGGAGCAUGAGCACACGGAAGGAGGAGCCAUGGGAAGGAAGGAGGACGCUUGUUUCUGAGAAGAAAGGUGACGGCUUGGAUGGGCAGUCAGGAAAACGUAGGCGUAAAGUGAAGGCGUGUUGGAAUAGGUCAUUUCAGAUGCUGUCAAAAUUUUUUUAAGGCAAGGCAAACCUGAGGAUGAGGAGUGGGGAGAGGUGGGGACCCAGUUAACCGCCCACUCGAGUGCCUUAAUGUUGCCCUUGCUCCUUAGUGCCCUCAGGCCCUUGACCCUCCAUUAUGUCCAACCUGCUCAACUCUACUUCGGGGAGACAGAUUUCCUGUGUUCGUGGCAUUUACAUUCCACUGAGGUUGUCAGACAGAAAGUAGUGGUGGUGACAAUAUGUUAUUAUUAUAAUAAAACAGAACUGUGAACAAAUACGAGGCAGGGUAAGAGUAUAGAGGAUGCUGGAGAAAGGAUAGUG
Molecule: long non-coding RNA, 5707 nt
Organism: Panthera uncia (snow leopard)
Lineage: Eukaryota; Metazoa; Chordata; Mammalia; Carnivora; Felidae
Exons: 3
Source: RefSeq, a predicted model, not a curated record